Non-coding RNA from Myodes glareolus (Bank vole), 734 nucleotides. The record is from RefSeq and is a predicted model, not a curated record. Lineage: Eukaryota; Metazoa; Chordata; Mammalia; Rodentia; Cricetidae.
CUGGAGAUUCCUAACCCUGGCUUCCCCUAGGCUAUGGCCUGGGUGGGGCCAAUGGGGGAAAGGAAAGAUCUUCUGGCCUUGCUUCUCCUAGCCCUUUGUAAAGGUGGGGGGCGGGACCCCCACCAUGACUGAGUACUGAGGGCGGAGCCAGCCACCACAAAGACUUCAAUUGUGAGUGAGGCCUGGUGCACAAUGGGGCUGGGCCCUCCACAUGGAAAUGAGGCCAAAGCCCCUUUUUCUCCCUCCUCUGCCUGGCUUCCUCCUCCUCCUUGGCCUUAGAGACACCGUGGACAGAGCUCAAAUGAAACCCCUGGAAGUGACCCUCAGCUUGGUCCAGGGUCCCUCAGAAACUCCACCAAGGCCUUCAGUACCACUUAGACUUGGAAAAGACAGACACCCUUCUUCAGACUGUGUGAAAUGCUUCUGAGGAGACUGUGACUUGGCUUAGAAUCUUCAGACGUCACUGUACUGACAGGCAGAGCACGUGACAACCACAGGGAAUGACAAACUCAGCUGGAAGAGGCACUGUUGGCAAGGAUCAAAAUGUCCCAUGCAUUCGCGGGAAGUGAAGUCUGCGUGGUUUAUACACAAGCAAGGCUCCAGGCCCCUUGGAGGAAGAGCAGGCAAGUUUUUAUGCCUGAGCGCUCCACUAACGUGCACUGGAAGGAAAAGGCAUUUAUCACCCCAUGUCACACGGCAGGGUCAUAAACAGUUAAUCUUCAACAAAGGGCAGA